RNAcentral lists this long non-coding RNA (634 nucleotides) under Rattus norvegicus (Norway rat). RNAcentral's name for it is "long non-coding RNA NONRATT032818". Lineage: Eukaryota; Metazoa; Chordata; Mammalia; Rodentia; Muridae. The record is from RNAcentral.
AGCAGGGAGCCUGGAAGGGGGACCGAAUGAAGACCCAGCCCUGUGCCCUGUGGGGACAUCAGUCAGCCUCUGUAGGCCCGCUGAACCGUGAGUCAUGGGUGCACAGCCCUCGCCAAGAACAAGUUAUGGGAUCGUCUCUGCAAGCUCUGAGCCCUUCCCAGCCCAGUUCUGCUACUUACCUGGAGAGCCUGGUGGCUUGUGCUGGCUGCUACACCUCUGAACCUGCACAGUCCCAACCCCAGUAAGGGAAGCGUCUCAGGCAGGCACCAUUCUUCAAGGCCGGUCUCCGUCCCUCCGACCACCAAGCUCCCCUCCACUGCGUCCUAGCUGCCACUACAACUUGGGUUUUAUUUACCGCACGUGUUGUUCAGUAUCCCUUUUUUCAGCCCUAAACUUGCCUAGGGUUGUGCCAUGCAGGGAGCAGAAGCAGAAUCAAGAGGUGACCCACACACUCAAGCUUGAUCUCCAACUUGAGAUCAUUCCUGGAGCUCCUCGCCCUCUGUGCCGUACCCAGUGGCCCCUUCCUCUGUUUUCUCUUGCUUAGGCUUGAGUGGCCGGUCACUGCCCAUUCUGCCCAGCUCCUCUCUGGUUCUCAGCUCGGAUCUCUGCCCCGUUCCAUUCUCCCAACUCAGCA